Molecule: small nuclear RNA, 107 nt
Organism: Meriones unguiculatus (Mongolian gerbil)
Lineage: Eukaryota; Metazoa; Chordata; Mammalia; Rodentia; Muridae
Source: Ensembl
GGGUUCACUUCAACAGCACAUAUACUAAAAUUGGAAUGAUACAGAGAAGAUUAGCAUGGCCCUUUUGCAAGGACGACACAUAAAUUUGUCAAGCAUUCCAUAUUUUU